AGAGAACUAUGGAUCGGAUUUUUCGUCACUGAGAUAUAGAAAAGGAGAAGCAACACCCUCGGCAAUAGAAGAACCAUCUCAUAAAGAGAAAGUUGUGGAUGCAAGUCCAACCAUUUGCACGUACAACAUUUUUGAAGGUAUUGAAUACUGGAACAUAAGAUGUCAAGCAGCAUAAUGGAUUAGUGUUUGCGUGAUAAAACAGUUGUGACUGUUUUUUUUCUUUUCUUUUGGAUUGACAAUCAGUGUAUUGGCUACCAGGCUAAGGCAUUACCUGACAGUUCCCACUCUCAAUUAGCGCUACAGUACCUAGAUUAACAUUGUCAUGUAAUAAUAUCAUCAUGAAGACAACACGAAGGAUGCUAUGCUGCAUAUUUCAAUUGUAUGCAUUUUUCCCUUUUAUUUUUGUUAUUGUCAGUAGGGAGCAGUUGUAUGUAAUUAAGAUCUGUAUAAGUAUUUGUUGUUCUCACUUUCAAAUUGAGAUAUGAAUUCAAUUGUGGGUUUGAAACA
Molecule: long non-coding RNA, 507 nt
Organism: Argentina anserina (silverweed cinquefoil)
Lineage: Eukaryota; Viridiplantae; Streptophyta; Magnoliopsida; Rosales; Rosaceae
Exons: 2
Source: RefSeq, a predicted model, not a curated record